This 253-nucleotide ribosomal RNA is filed under the name uncultured bacterium. RNAcentral describes it as "partial 16S ribosomal RNA". It matches the Rfam family "Bacterial small subunit ribosomal RNA", at positions 524 to 776 of the family's 1533-position model. The record is from RNAcentral.
UACGUAGGGUGCAAGCGUUAAUCGGAAUUACUGGGCGUAAAGCGCGCGUAGGUGGUUCAGUAAGUUGGAUGUGAAAUCCCCGGGCUCAACCUGGGAACUGCUUUCAAAACUGCUGAGCUAGAGUACGGUAGAGGGUAGUGGAAUUUCCUGUGUAGCGGUGAAAUGCGUAGAUAUAGGAAGGAACACCAGUGGCGAAGGCGACCACCUGGACUGAUACUGACGCUGAGGUGCGAAAGCGUGGGGAGCAAACAGG